AAAAUGCGAAAAGUCGUGUGACCUGCAUGCUUCGUGAAUCAUCAAAUCUUUGAACGCAUCUUGCACCGUCUGGUCUCGCCAGUCGGUAUACUUGUUUGAGUAUCACAUACUAUACUACAUCUGUCCCCCAUGGGGAGUGUGGCCUGUGUCUUGACGUGGGGAGGACACACACGGGUCGGUGGACAGGACAUGGCCGUGUGCUCUCUGUCAUCAUUGAGAGAUGGUGAUGGGGCACUGGGCUGAAAUGCAGCACAGGUGCGAGUGCACCACUGGGAUAACAUCCAGCGGUGGUGCCGUGAUGGGGAGCACGCCUGUGUGACAGUCUCGACAUGCAUGCAUGCACAGUGAUGUGUGAGUGAGACAUGUCUUGGUCAGCAAUGAUUGAGGCCUUGCUGUUGAUCUCAAAUCAAGUAAGAGGACCCGCUGAACUUAA
Molecule: unclassified non-coding RNA, 433 nt
Filed under: uncultured Absidia
Lineage: Eukaryota; Fungi; Mucoromycota; Mucoromycetes; Mucorales; Mucoraceae
Description: sequence contains ITS1
Rfam family: 5.8S ribosomal RNA (bases 1-105)
Source: RNAcentral